AUUGAACGCUGGCGGCAUGCUUUACACAUGCAAGUCGAACGGUAACAGGUUAAGCUGAUGAGUGGCGAACGGGUGAGUAAUGCAUCGGAACGUGCCCGAUCGUGGGGGAUAACGCAGCGAAAGCUGCGCUAAUACCGCAUACGAUCUGAGGAUGAAAGCGGGGGACCGUAAGGCCUCGCGCGAUCGGAGCGGCCGAUGUCAGAUUAGGUAGUUGGUGGGGUAAAGGCCCACCAAGCCGACGAUCUGUAGCUGGGCUGAGAGGACGACCAGCCACACUGGGACUGAGACACGGCCCAGACUCAUACGGGAGGCAGCAGUGGGGAAUUUUGGACAAUGGGCGAAAGCCUGAUCCAGCAAUGCCGCGUGCAGGAAGAAGGCCUUCGGGUUGUAAACUGCUUUUGUACGGAGCGAAAAGGUCCUUUCUAAUACAGGGGGCUCAUGACGGUACCGUAAGAAUAAGCACCGGCUAACUACGUGCCAGCCGCCGCCGUAA
Molecule: ribosomal RNA, 493 nt
Filed under: uncultured bacterium
Lineage: Bacteria
Description: partial 16S ribosomal RNA
Rfam family: Bacterial small subunit ribosomal RNA
Source: RNAcentral